Molecule: long non-coding RNA, 3329 nt
Organism: Salvelinus namaycush (lake trout)
Lineage: Eukaryota; Metazoa; Chordata; Actinopteri; Salmoniformes; Salmonidae
Exons: 2
Source: RefSeq, a predicted model, not a curated record
AGCCCGCUGAGAGAAUUGGAGGGGGGCAGACGAGGUUCAUUUGUUUCAUGGCUCGUGUUGCGUGUCAAGCAUAUCCAUAUCUUCUUUCACUAUGUGGUUGUAUGUCUGUCUUUGUACACGCGUUUCAUAUUUUCCUUUAUGAUAUGUCCUCUUUAUUUUUUUCGCUCCCACAGUUUGAGUCAGCGUAAAAAAGCGCAUGGCACCUUCGUGCGUGACAGAAAGAUGGAUGACCGAGAUAUUUCCGCACGCAACUAUUGUUUUUCCCGGUGCUGCUGCCUUCGCUUGACUGACCAAGCAGAUUUAGGAUUGUCCCGAAGACCAAGCCCACCCCUCCAUGCCGGAGCUCCGCUUUCUCACGCGAACUGCAGGAGCAGGGACGAGUGGGCGAAAGCCCAGCGACUGGCAUUAUCCAUCAUAUUGAGCAUGGCAAUAAUACGGCCUAUCUCGGAGGAGAAAGAAAUAAGCGAUUUAGAGCGUCUCUCAAUAAUGUUCAUAUGCCUCAAACAGUGGAAAAUUAGCCUAUUGUUUUCCAGAAUUUAAAUUACACGUUGGCGUCUUUUAACUUGGCUUUGGAGUUACACUUCACUUUCCUCAAAAGCCUGCACAUUUUGGGUUGCCUACUAGUUGUAAUCCAGGAUUCCAGGAAUGAUCAUCCAAAUGUUUAACUAAUUAGGCAACUAAUGGUGAGGCUCUCUAAUAGCCAUACACUGAAAUCUGCACUUAAAUGUCUUGAGACAUCUUCAAGUUGAAUUAUGCUAAUUAUUUAAAUUGAACAAUAAAGUUAACCCAUUGUGAAUGAUACAGUCCUACAGUUAACCCCGAACCGAAUGUAUAACACAUUAGGUCUUGGAAGUUGAAAUACAAGACAAAAAAAAUAGAGGCAUAUUGUCAAGUAGACAAAAGCCAAUUAAUAUAAAUCCAUGUACAUGAUGAAAAUUAUGAUAUAGAGAACAACUUAAAUAAAACAACAAAGAGAUAAGCGAAUGCUUAAAAUAUAGCCUAAUUAACCAUAACUGUCUUCAAUAAAAACUUAAUUAAACAUCCAUGCCUUUUCUAUGGACUAUGCCUACAAACCAAUAGUAAACCAUUUCAGCGUGUUUAUUUGUAUAUGGACAGGCCAUUGUGGCCCGAAUGAUAGAGAUAUGCGUGCAUAAAAACGCAUGUCUGCGCGUAAAUCCUGCAUUGAUAGGAGAUUUGGUUAAAUGUCUAAUUAUGCAUGUGGAUAUUAAGUUAGGAAUUUGUCGAGUGAGAUUUCUCAGCAACAAGUUAUGUUUAUCAAUCAAAGCAUAUAGGCUAACAGCCAGGCUAAUAUGAUGCUGGUUAACAGGAAAAGCUUAUAUGCAUCCAAAAUACGUUGUUGAAAUAAUAUAAUUUCAUUCUGAGUCGAUAGGCUCAUUACCGCUGUUUCAGUCCAUGGUCCAACUAUGUUGGAAAUCCCUCGUAUUGCUGUGCAGAGUCGAUAUAUAUUCACUGUCAGUGGGCUAUCUGGAAUAGGAUGUACAUUUCCUAAAAGAAGAGAGACUGUAAGGGUAAUGAACUCAUUCACCCUUUCACCCCUGCAGUGCUGACAGAAUACUCCCCCACCCCCACACCCCAGCAUCCUUAACCAAGGGCUGGGGGAGGCGAGGGCUUGGCCAAAACGCUCUCACGCAACUUGGCCAAUCUUUAACUUGACUGCUAACAGGUACACGCACGCGAUGGCAUUUGCCAGUUUUUAUCACGACUUGUUUCAAAACAGACCCCGCUCAGAAUGGUGUGUUGUAGAUGGUGAGGUCUAGAAGACUCUAUUCUAGGUUUUAAUACAUAUAACUUACAUUUGAGUAAGUUCCAAUUGGGAUAUUGAUUAACACAACAGGGAUCCGAAGUCAAACACUUUGGAUAGCUUACACAAGCAGACAAGACAAUAUAGUCUCUUAUCUCAAUCGAAUGUUUUAUCCUCCAUGACACACUUGAUAAGUAGGCUACAUUUGUUUCCUAUAAGUUAAUAAGACGCACACGUCUUCCCAUUGUCCUUAUAUGCAAUACUGUUGACAGGUUGGUUGAGUGAGAUGUAUCAAACUGUCAAAGACGAGUCUCUUGAUUAAAAGUACUUCGGGGCUGUAAGUUCUCCCGCUUGGGAUAGGCUACACCUUUGCACGCUAUCGAAAUCUGUUGCAAUGAGUAGGCCUAAAGGAAAGAUUGCCAAAGGGUUUAUGACUUAAUAACCAAUGCUUAACAGUUUCCUGUUAAUUAAUUUAUGGAACAAGUAUUUAAAGAAGAAAUGUUGAUGUUUGCUAAUAAUAAAAUAUAAAAAUGAAUACCACUGGAAACAGAUUAGACACUGAUGGUACAUUUACUUUUGAAAUUAUUGUGGGCCCAAAGUGAUUAAGCUUGUGUCCUUAAAUUAGUUGUGGAAGAGUUCAUGUUCAAUAGAUCAUUGAGAAUAAAUAUUUGGAUCAGCCCUAAAGUACUGUCAUCCUUAUACAAUGUGCUUUAUAUAACUGUUUUCAUGAAUAUGUUCCAUAUACUUUUAAGAUAAAUAGUUCAUAACAUGAUAAGGAGUGGACGAAUUGCCUUUUUUUCAAUAUGGCUUAUUAGCCUACUGCCUACCAUAGCCUGCAAUAUUAGGCCCAAUACCAUAACAUUCAUGGUAAUAAAUUAAUAAUAAAAUACAUAUAAAUAUUUAGGCCUAAACAAAUAAAUUAAACAAAAUAUACCAAUAUAAUUACCACAUCUAUAACAUUAUAAGUAAGAUGUGUAGUAUGAUGAAUAGGUAUGAUAGUGAUUAUAGGUCUACAUCUACAUGGUUGUGCUUAUGAUUAUGAUGAUAUAAUAUGAUUAAAAGUUAGGCUGAUUGUAUUAUUGUAUUGUUAUUACACAAUAACACAUUUAACAUGCUCUACGUCAAUUGCAAAUAUCAUUGGUGAUCAUUCCACAAAUCAAUGUAUUCCUCUUACCUGACUGGCUUCUUCUAUAUAGUCUGUUUUAUAACUCCCUCCAACAGGCUAAUGAACAUCUGAAAAGCGACUCAUCCAAUCAUUCUGAUAUGAACCUAAAAUCAUAUCUAAAAAUGUUUAAAAAUUAAAAAUGUAAAAAAAAGUCAUCUGAACGUCGAAUAGCCUACUGAGAACGACUUGUUCGAAAAUUAAACAAGCAGUCUAUUAAAUUUCUCUUCGGUUAGACAUUCUAAAAUAUUUUUAUAACAAACUAUAUGAAAUUGUAUGUAUAUAUUUUUUCAAUAGGGCCCAUCACUGAUAUAUCAGUGAAAGCAUGCACUCUUAGAAAAAAAUAUCUUACUCCUUAGACGUUUCUUUUUAUAAUAAAGGCAAGCUUACAUUGUAUAUACACUA